Molecule: long non-coding RNA, 1397 nt
Filed under: Mus musculus (house mouse)
Lineage: Eukaryota; Metazoa; Chordata; Mammalia; Rodentia; Muridae
Description: Pvt1 oncogene
Rfam family: Pvt1 oncogene conserved region 1 (bases 44-200)
Source: RNAcentral
ACCCGCCAGCCCCGCGCUCUACCAGGCAGAGCGCGUGUGGCCGCCGAGCACAUGGACCCACUGGUCAAGCGGGCUCGGCAAGGCCAGGAUGAAGAGAAGCUACGAACUUAGCAUUCCCAGAGCCCCCCGAGUGGAUAUCCGCGUGGAAAGGAUGUUGGCAGCCCCGGUGACCUCGGAGUCACGGCUGGAUCCACCCUCUUGUCUGAUUUUCUUAACUCUACUACGGUAAGAAGAUGCCCUCCAUCAGCAGGCCGUGUCUGCUGGGACCUCUCUGGAGACUUCCUGAACCCUGUGGAUUUACAGUAAGAUGCAGUUUCCUGGGGAGUAAUUCUGGUGGAUACAAAUUCCGGAGUAUUACACCUGGCUUGCCUGGAGAUGUUACAAGUAGCUGGAUGGAUUCUUCAGCCUGGAUGCCCACUGAAAACAAGGACCGAAACUAAGAGGAUUGUAUCUCUACCCUUGACUCAAUGAGAAUGUUUGUUGUCAUCUCUCGGGCUACCUGGAGCUCCCUCUAAAAUAGAGCCGAGUUCUGUCACCACAGACAUUGGCAGUGGCACUUGCAUGCCCCUGGCAAGCAGUCUAUCCUGAGGUGGAGGAAGUUGCCCUUGAGUUCUGGCUGGUAACCAGCACAGAUGUGAAGCGUUGACUUAAGAGAUGCCAAGUAACUCAGCAGAUGUCACACAGACGAUAAAUAGCAAAGAUGGAAGUCUUCAUGCCGGAGGCAAUCCUAUAAGACAGCUGAGUUCUGCAGAGCUGGUAGGAGACAGACUUGCUCAGGUGAUAGAUCCAGCCAUGAUACUGACCCUAAGAGAAUGAGACGCUCUGCAGAAGACAGAAGAUUCCUGAAACUGGGAAAGGUGCCUAGAAAUCCUGAUAAGAGUGAAGAAGGAGCUGGCAGAGCAGCCUUCCUCCGCACUAUGAAAGACAUCCAACAGAGAGCAAGUUCCCACCUCACUUCCAGCUUGACUCCUUUUUAUCUCCUAACUGUGGUCUGUGAUGUCUUCAGCAAUGGUAUUAACUAGUUCUGGGUACCUGGAGGCACAGCAGCCAUGUUGAACCUAUGAGGUGAUGAAAAACCAUGCAACUAGAAACCAGAAUGGAAGAAAAGAAGAAGCUGGAUCCUUGACUGAAUUGUCGAUGGGGGAUAGUCCAUCAUCCCAGGGCUAAGACCACCUCCAGAUUUCUUGUUUGGUGAAACAAGUCCUGAUUGUUUACAUUCCCUCGUGUUGAGCUGUCUCUUGCUUGUAGCUGAAAGCAUUUCUAAUAGAUAUUCAGAUUAUCAGCCUUAGCUCCAAGCUAGAAUACUCUAUGGGACCUUAGCUUCUCCAUGAAUUCCUUUGCUCAUCUGUGUAAUGCUCAAUAAAUGUAAAUUGAACCCUGAAUGAGGGACAAUGACA